This 506-nucleotide ribosomal RNA is filed under the name uncultured bacterium. RNAcentral's name for it is "partial 16S ribosomal RNA". It matches the Rfam family "Bacterial small subunit ribosomal RNA", at positions 29 to 523 of the family's 1533-position model. The record is from RNAcentral.
AGUGAACGCUGGCGGUAGGCCUAACACAUGCAAGUCGAACGGCAGCACAGGAGAGCUUGCUCUCUGGGUGGCGAGUGGCGGACGGGUGAGGAAUACAUCGGAAUCUACUCUGUCGUGGGGGAUAACGUAGGGAAACUUACACUAAUACCGCAUACGACCUACGGGUGAAAGCAGUGGAUCUUCGGACCUUGCGCGAUUGAAUGAGCCGAUGUCGGAUUAGCUAGUUGGCGGGGUAAAGGCCCACCAAGGCGACGAUCCGUAGCUGGUCUGAGAGGAUAAUCAGCCACACUGGAACGGAGACACGGUCCAGACUCCUACGGGAGGCAGCAGUGGGGAAUAUUGGACAAUGGGCGCAAGCCUGAUCCAGCCAUACCGCGUGGGUGAAGAAGGCCUUCGAGUUGUAAAGCCCUUUUGUUGGGAAAGAAAUCCAGCUGGCUAAUACCCGGUUGGGAUGACGGUACCCAAAGAAUAAGCACCGGCUAACUUCGUGCCAGCAGCCGCCGCCG